GGCAAUAUGUCAGUAAUCUAUACUAUACUAAAAGGGGGAUAUCCUCCCCUCUAAACCUAUCCACGUCAGUUAAUAUAUUCAGCCAAUCAGAGAGUAUUAUUAUGCUACGUCAUACGAAGUUUUAAGUCAACUAAUAUAAAAUCGGGCCAGGCGUUUGGGCCAUUAAUAAUAUCCAGUGCCAAUAUGAAGCCCACCUCAGCAAUACCAAAUCUCCAAUGAAAGUUAUUAAUUUAUUAUCGUGGCUGACUCUUCUUCUUCUUAGCUGUGUGAACGCUCACGGUCUAACUCCUCCUCUCAAUUGAUGAUUUUGAGAAACGUCUGCAAUUAUGACAUUCAAGGAGAGGGAUCGCCGUUGAUAGUAUCAACGGUGGAGAGAACGAAGACGAACCGGAGAAGAAAAGUGAAGAAGAGCAGAGAUUAAAACAUCAUCUGAUACGAGAAUCUUCUAGAACCCUACCUUCUUUUUUAUGAACUCUCUCAAUCCUUUCCCCGUGACUACCGUCACAUGUCUUAAGCUCGGAGAUAUAUGCAGCUGCAUCUCUCUGUUUAUGUCUUUGUUUUCCUCUUUCUUCUCUUAUCUGAAUGUGGGUUUCUUUGAAAGGAGAUGGAUGUCCGAAGAGGAAAUAUUGAUCUUACGUUGUUAUGUAUUGUUUGAUUAUUCAAAAGGGUCUAUGUCAUUCACCUAACCUUGCUUUGUGUUUAGGUUACUAAUGGCAGAUCGUAUCUGAUUUCCCGUUGUUCAUUUUGUCUCAGGUGAUUUGGCAAGGAAGAGCCCAAGAUUCACGGUUAACAGAUGAGAGCUAAGAAACAGAGGAUGUCGACCAUUGACACCAGAAGAGAUUGAUUCAUUCCUUUUACCUCCAGGUUUCUCCUAGAUGUCACAUUAUACUUUACCGGAUCUUUUGCUCUCGAUGCAGCAAUAGUAGUUGGUGGCCUUCCCAGGAUUUGGGUGUUGUAGGGUCUUGAAGAAAACAACACGGGCUGAAGCAUUAAGCAUAGAAACAAGGGGGACCUGUGUGUUUGUACAUGCUGAGCAUUCUAUUGACUCGCCACUUGCUAGGGUAAUCUGUAUAAACACAGAAAAUAUACUUCUAUCACAGCCUAAUUGGCGCGAACAAGCCCUUAGUCGUGCGGAUACUUCAAUCCGAAGUGGUUCGGUUGAUGUUAUUGUUGCUGACACUGUAAUUUAGGAGCACUUGAGUAUAAGAUGGGUGAUGCUCAUAUGAUUAUCCAAGCCGGUAAGUUUCAUUGACACCCUAAAUAUUCGAUCCCUUUUUUUUCCAAAUGCUUAGAGUGUUUUG
This is a long non-coding RNA of Brassica napus (rape), 1301 nucleotides long. RefSeq lists it as uncharacterized. The transcript is spliced from 4 exons. Lineage: Eukaryota; Viridiplantae; Streptophyta; Magnoliopsida; Brassicales; Brassicaceae. The record is from RefSeq and is a predicted model, not a curated record.